ACAAAAACUAUUUCUUGACGACCUUUG
RNAcentral lists this non-coding RNA (27 nucleotides) under Homo sapiens (human). Lineage: Eukaryota; Metazoa; Chordata; Mammalia; Primates; Hominidae. The record is from RNAcentral.